AUGAAUUCCGUGGGGAAAAAGAUCCUCGACACGGGAAACCACGAAUCCCCCAGGGAAGAAGCUCCUCGCCUCAUGAACUAUGAACUUCACAUGGGGUUCAUCAUGAAGUUCAUCACAAAACUCAAGAAAAUUGUAAAGUUCAUCGCGAAACUCAUGAUCUUCAUGAUGAAAUCCAUGAACAUUGUUGAUGCAAGCCCAAACACAAAUCUUAUUUAUCGCCCUAAACGGAGGCGCUGGAAUGCCCACUAG
Molecule: non-coding RNA, 249 nt
Organism: Vicia faba (fava bean)
Lineage: Eukaryota; Viridiplantae; Streptophyta; Magnoliopsida; Fabales; Fabaceae
Source: the annotation of a GenBank genome assembly